Molecule: ribosomal RNA, 501 nt
Filed under: uncultured bacterium
Lineage: Bacteria
Description: bacterial SSU rRNA
Rfam family: Bacterial small subunit ribosomal RNA
Source: RNAcentral
AACGAACGCUGGCGGCGCGCCUAAUACAUGCAAGUCGAGCGAGAAGACGUAGCAAUACGUUUGUAAAGCGGCGAACGGGUGAGGAAUACAUGGGUAACCUACCCUCGAGUGGGGAAUAACUAGCCGAAAGGUUAGCUAAUACCGCGCACGCUCCUUGGACUUCGGUUCAGGGAGGAAAGCGAUACCGUGGGUAUCGCGCUCUUGGAUGGGCUCAUGUCCUACCAGCUUGUUGGUGAGGAACGGCUCACCAAGGCUUCGACGGGUAGCUGGUCUGAGAGGACGAUCAGCCACACUGGCACUGCGACACGGGCCAGACUCCUACGGGAGGCAGCAGUAAGGAAUAUUGCGCAAUGGGCGAAAGCCUGACGCAGCGACGCCGCGUGGGGGAUGAAGGUCUUCGGAUUGUAAACCCCUUUCGGGAGGGAAGAUGGAACGAGCAAUCGUUCGGACGGUACCUCCAGAAGCAGCCACGGCUAACUUCGUGCCAGCCGCCGCAGUAAG